This 395-nucleotide unclassified non-coding RNA is filed under the name soil metagenome. RNAcentral describes it as "partial contains 5.8S ribosomal RNA, internal transcribed spacer 2, and large subunit ribosomal RNA". The stretch from base 1 to 121 matches the Rfam family "5.8S ribosomal RNA", at positions 35 to 154 of the family's 154-position model. The record is from RNAcentral.
GAUGAAGAACGCAGCGAACGUGCGAAACGUAAUGUGAAUUGCAGAAUUCAGUGAAUCAUCGAAUCUUUGAACGCAUCUUGCGCUCCUUGGUAUUCCGAGGAGCAUGCCUGUUUGAGUGUCGUGAAUACUCUCAACUUCAACCCUUUUUUCGGAAAGGGAGGAAGGUUGGACUUGGGUGUUUGUUGAAGUGCGAGCUUCGACUCAUCCUAAAUGCAUUAGCGAUCUGCCUCGAUCACACACAAUGUGAUAAUUAAAACUAAAGCAUUGUUUAAUGAUCAAGUCGAGACUGCUUCUAACUGUCGCAAGACAAUAACGUGCAUAAAUUUGUGCAUGUCAUUUGACCUCAAAUCAGGUAGGACUACCCGCUGAACUUAAGCAUAUCAAUAAGCGGAGGA